ACGAACGCUGGCUGCGUGCUUAACACAUGCAAGUCGAACGCUGAAGCCGACAGCUUGCUGUUGGUGGAUGAGUGGCGAACGGGUGAGUAACACGUGAGUAACCUGCCCCUGAUUUCGGGAUAAGCCUGGGAAGCUGGGUCUAAUACCGGAUACGACCUCUUGACGCAUGUUGGGUGGUGGAAAGUUUUUCGAUCGGGGAUGGGCUCGCGGCCUAUCAGCUUGUUGGUGGGGUAAUGGCCUACCAAGGCGACGACGGGUAGCCGGCCUGAGAGGGCGACCGGCCACACUGGGACUGAGACACGGCCCAGACUCCUACGGGAGGCAGCAGUGGGGAAUAUUGCACAAUGGGGGAAACCCUGAUGCAGCGACGCAGCGUGCGGGAUGACGGCCUUCGGGUUGUAAACCGCUUUCAGCAGGGAAGAAGCGAAAGUGACGGUACCUGCAGAAGAAGUACCGGCUAACUACGUGCCAGCAGCCGCGGUAAUACGUAGGGUACGAGCGUUGUCCGGAAUUAUUGGGCGUAAAGAGCUCGUAGGUGGUUGGUCACGUCUGCUGUGGAAACGCAACGCUUAACGUUGCGCGUGCAGUGGGUACGGGCUGACUAGAGUGCAGUAGGGGAGUCUGGAAUUCCUGGUGUAGCGGUGAAAUGCGCAGAUAUCAGGAGGAACACCGGUGGCGAAGGCGGGACUCUGGGCUGUAACUGACACUGAGGAGCGAAAGCAUGGGGAGCGAACAGGAUUAGAUACCCUGGUAGUCCAUGCCGUAAACGUUGGGCACUAGGUGUGGGGGACAUUCCACGUUCUCCGCGCCGUAGCUAACGCAUUAAGUGCCCCGC
This 835-nucleotide ribosomal RNA is filed under the name Bacillaceae bacterium M_Sw_oHS_02/11_2_2(1). RNAcentral describes it as "bacterial SSU rRNA". It matches the Rfam family "Bacterial small subunit ribosomal RNA", at positions 29 to 872 of the family's 1533-position model. The record is from RNAcentral. Lineage: Bacteria; Bacillati; Bacillota; Bacilli; Caryophanales; Bacillaceae.